AUUGAACGCUGGCGGCAUGCUUUACACAUGCAAGUCGAACGGUAACAGGCCGCAAGGUGCUGACGGGUGGCGAACGGGGGAGUAAUGCAUCGGAACGUGCCCAGUCGCGGGGGAUAACUACUCGAAAGAGUAGCUAAUACCGCAUACGAUCUAUGGUUGAAAGCGGGGGACCGUAAGGCCUCGCGCGAUUGGAUCGGCCGAUGUCAGAUUAGGUAGUUGGUGGGGUAAAGGCUCACCAAGCCAACGAUCUGUAGCUGGUCUGAGAGGACGAGCAGACACACUGGGACUGAGACACGGCCCAGACUCCUACGGGAGGCAGCAGUGGGGAAUUUUGGACAAUGGGGGAAAGGCUGAUCCAGCAAUGCCGCGUGCAGGAAGAAGGAGUUCGGGUUGUAAACUGCUUUUGUACGGAGCGAAACGGCUCUGGUUAAUACCCGGGGAUAAUGACGGUACCGUAAGAAUAAGCACCGGCUAACUACGUG
This 482-nucleotide ribosomal RNA is filed under the name uncultured bacterium. RNAcentral's name for it is "partial 16S ribosomal RNA". It matches the Rfam family "Bacterial small subunit ribosomal RNA", at positions 29 to 507 of the family's 1533-position model. The record is from RNAcentral.